UGGCUCAGGAUGAACGCUGGCGGCGUGCCUAAUACAUGCAAGUCGAACGAGUUCUCGUUGAUGAUCGGUGCUUGCACCGAGAUUCAACAUGGAACGAGUGGCGGACGGGUGAGUAACACGUGGGUAACCUGCCCUUAAGUGGGGGAUAACAUUUGGAAACAGAUGCUAAUACCGCAUAGAUCCAAGAACCGCAUGGUUCUUGGCUGAAAGAUGGCGUAAGCUAUCGCUUUUGGAUGGACCCGCGGCGUAUUAGCUAGUUGGUGAGGUAAUGGCUCACCAAGGCGAUGAUACGUAGCCGAACUGAGAGGUUGAUCGGCCACAUUGGGACUGAGACACGGCCCAAACUCCUACGGGAGGCAGCAGUAGGGAAUCUUCCACAAUGGACGCAAGUCUGAUGGAGCAACGCCGCGUGAGUGAAGAAGGCUUUCGGGUCGUAAAACUCUGUUGUUGGAGAAGAAUGGUCGGCAGAGUAACUGUUGUCGGCGUGACGGUAUCCAACCAGAAAGCCACGGCUAACUACGUGCCAGCAGCCGCGGUAAUACGUAGGUGGCAAGCGUUAUCCGGAUUUAUUGGGCGUAAAGCGAGCGCAGGCGGUUUUUUAAGUCUGAUGUGAAAGCCCUCGGCUUAACCGAGGAAGCGCAUCGGAAACUGGGAAACUUGAGUGCAGAAGAGGACAGUGGAACUCCAUGUGUAGCGGUGAAAUGCGUAGAUAUAUGGAAGAACACCAGUGGCGAAGGCGGCUGUCUGGUCUGUAACUGACGCU
This 763-nucleotide ribosomal RNA is filed under the name Lactobacillus casei group sp. Its description in RNAcentral is "bacterial SSU rRNA". It matches the Rfam family "Bacterial small subunit ribosomal RNA", at positions 20 to 747 of the family's 1533-position model. Lineage: Bacteria; Bacillati; Bacillota; Bacilli; Lactobacillales; Lactobacillaceae. The record is from RNAcentral.